UACGUAGGGUGCAGGCGUUAAUCGGAAUUACUGGGCGUAAAGCGUGCGCAGGCGGUUUGCUAAGACAGGUGUGAAAUCCCCGGGCUUAACCUGGGAACUGCGCUUGUAACUGGCAAGCUAGAGUGUGGCAGAGGGGGGUGGAAUUCCACGUGUAGCAGUGAAAUGCGUAGAGAUGUGGAGGAACACCGGUGGCGAAGGCAGCCCCCUGGGCUGACACUGACGCUCAUGCACGAAAGCGUGGGGAGCAAACAGG
This 253-nucleotide ribosomal RNA is filed under the name uncultured bacterium. RNAcentral's name for it is "partial 16S ribosomal RNA". It matches the Rfam family "Bacterial small subunit ribosomal RNA", at positions 524 to 776 of the family's 1533-position model. The record is from RNAcentral.